GAAGCGACUCACUCAGUUCCUAAUACAAGGUAUUGCCUACAUGAGUUGCUCAAUAAAAAUUGAACAAAAUUGAAACUAUCUGGGUUUUUUUUUUCUGCCACCAACAUGUAUUUUCAACCUUUAAUCUAAACUUAUUUUCCAUUUUUGGUGCUUUAAAUGAUAUUGGCCAAUCUCUAGGAAAAAAAAAAAAAGGUCACACAUAGUUUGCCAUUCAAUACAAUCCUGGCAUUUUGGCAUAUUUCCUUUUAUUUAAUUUCUUUUCAAUUAAUUAAGCACACAUGCCCUUGUUUCUCUAUGUUAGUGAUUAAAACGAUCUUUACUUCAUCAAAUCACUUGACAGUAUUGGACCUGAGUGUCACCAUUAAGUGCACAUAGCCUUGGAGUUGAGCUUCGCCAUCAGCUGCCCGCAGGUCUUUCCCCUGCCAUGUUCACUUGUUUCCUGUGAUACCCAGACAAACUCCUGGAUGUGAGGGAAGAUGUGCGGUGGUUCGUUCUGGGGCUGUGAGGGAAGGGUCUGCUGUCCUCAGCAUAUGGUAUUGUCUUGUCUAUGGCUGUUCCCAUGUCAUGUGAUCCUUCCUUUAUGACCUGUAAGCAUAUCCCCUGUACAAAUUUCUCCUUACUAAGGACACCGAUUUUCCUGGAUCAGGACACACCCCAGUGAUGUCACUGUAACUUGACUGUCUAGAGAGACUAUUCACAUUCUAAGCACUUCAAUGUAGGAGUUCUAGGUAGGGAUACACUUCACCCUAUAACCUCCCCUCACGUAUAUGUUAGGAAGUUGGAGCCAGGAAAAUAGUCUCUGAUUUGACUUUAGUUGUGACUACGUCUGGCGUGAUAUUUUUAUCUGCAUCCUACUCAUGAAUUGAAAGGCCAUGAGCAAGGAGAAACUGGUAUCUCCUUUGAUUCUAAUUCUAUUGAUGUGAGACGGUAUUUAAUGAUUAUUAAUUUAAAUGGAACCUAUUUUGACCUGCACUGUGAUGCUAUUUAAACACCAGGUCAAAUGCAGCGUCCUCGGCGUGGCUGAGACUUAAUUACAGUCCUGUAUCUAUGAAGCCUGUUGGCGAGCUAGAUCCAUUCCUUUGAAAGUUCCAAUGAACGCAGCAACCUAUAGGCUAUCUGGCGUCCUAAUUACUCUCUGUUGAUUGGACCACAUUUCCAGCAGACCCUUGCUCUUCCCUCUUCCCCGCUCACCCUCCUCCUCCCCUGCCUCCCACUCCUGUCAUCUUUCCCCCUCCUUCCUUCCUUCUUUUUCUUUCUCCAGUUUUUUGUUUCUUUUUCUUGCAUAAAGGAUUUUAGUAGACUGUAUACAUGCUGUAGAUAUACACAGGUCUGUUCCAAGGGAAGGCUGGGAAAUCGUAUAGCAAUAAGCCAUGCAUGUUCCCAGCCAUCCCUGGUCCUUGGGGCGUCCAGUUCACAAGGAGAUGGAAACUCCUGCCUGAGCUGGUGGGCAGAGAAGGUGCUGAUGGGGCCUGCCCAGCCAGCUCCCUCCUGGAGGAGCUGCAAUGGCACCAGCUUAGUUUCAGCCCCAACUAUAAUGAAAGCUUUAAAUGGUGUCUCCUGUGGUUGUGCAGUGUUUAAACACCUAUGCCCUUUUCCAUUGACCGCGCUCUAGCAAAUCACUGCUCCCUGAUGGAAAUGGAGGGCCUGAAUGAGGAUGCCGGGAUUCCCCCUUGUGCUUUGUUCAUUGUACAUGCUUAAGAUUUAUUAGAAGUGAAUGGAUGAUGACCAAAUGCAUUAUGGGGCAGAGAUGGGGCUAUCAGUAUAAGCUGGGGAACAUCUCAGGGUAUUCCUCUCAAAUCUGCAUCAAGUGUUAAGCCCCACCCCCCCCCAUCUUCCUUUAGCAUUGAAAUGAGCAUUGACAGCCUGUAUGUUUUGUUUUAUUACUUUGUAUAUGCUAUUGCUCUUGCUUUAAAGAUUCUAUUUAAGUCAUAGGGACAAAGAGCUGCUGUUUCUCAUGGUGAAAACCAUGAGAAACAGCAGCUGUCACCAUGAAUUAAGGGUGUACAGGCACACACAGACCACCUUAGUGUCUCGGGAUUCCAUAAUAACCUUUGGCAACUCUUGAGAUGAGUCGUAUUGUCCUAAUUUUACAGUUGGUCUAAAGGUUUAUAUAGCUCACUUAAUGGUGGAUCAAAACACCAAAUUUAUUCUGUCCUCAAAGCCUAUACUUUGUUUAGACAUCUUCAGUCACUCAGAUUUC
Molecule: long non-coding RNA, 2200 nt
Filed under: Mus musculus (house mouse)
Lineage: Eukaryota; Metazoa; Chordata; Mammalia; Rodentia; Muridae
Description: long non-coding RNA chr4:105176999-105179199
Source: RNAcentral